UAAGGGGUCCUAAAAGCGUGACCAAGUCGGCCCUAGGUUGUGCACAGAAGACACAUCAAGCCCUGGAAGAGGAGAGCCAGGUAGGGUGACGCACAGAUCCUGUUCGGCAGGACAGCCCUCACACACACGGGCGCUGCAGGGAGGGGAAAGGGCUGCCUGCGGGAAACCCCCGCACGCUGCACCCACGCACCCACCCCCCGCCAGCCCGGUCCUCUGGGACCGGGCAAGACCCACGCGAGGGGAGGCACCCGCAGACCCCGCACCCACGGGGCGCGCCCAAGGGAACCGACGCUGAGGGCGGCAAGCGGGUGGGAGGCCCGUGGGGAAACUCCGCGGGGAGCGCACCCCCCCACGCAAGCCGGCUGGGCUGAAGGGGAGGACAGGGGGAGGACGGGGGACGCACCCCCCCCCACGCACACACACACAGAGCCGCGACCCGCGGGGUCGGAGCUCCGGACACGAGUGUGGUGGGUCUUCCCCGGGGAAAAAAGGACAACGCCGUGUCACAAAGAAAAGCCGUGACGAGUGCUGGUGCCACAGGAGAAUGUCCCAUCCCUGGGAAUUAAAGCCCUCCAUGAAGAAGAAUCCAAGCACUGGUUACAUAAAUCAAAAUUUAAGACCAAUUAAAAAAAAAAAAAUACGCUUCCCACACAUGCUUUCCCCAUUGCCCACAUCCUCCUCCCCAUCUUCCCUCUGCCUCCUCCUGCUGCCUGGGACCAGGAGCAUGGGCACUGCUGUGAUGUUGGCGUAAUUGGAGUAUUCAGGCUGCUAUUUUGUACCUGUCUGUUUAUUUGAGAGACAGCCUCAACCUUGUAAUGAAUGCAUCUGAAUAUUUAUCUGCUUGUUCUGAAUGGUAUAUUUGUAUUUCAAAUGCUUAAUUGUUAUUUUUAUUUAGCUGCAAAUUGCUGUUUUUAUUUCAUUGGCGUACCUACUUGGAAACCUCUCUAGCGUGAGGUUAAUGCUGAGCUUUUCUCUAUUCCUGAUUAGUUUUUUUUAAUUAAUCCAAUGCUCAUAAGAGCAUAAGGACUCUGCAAACCCCUUCUAGCUUGUCAUGGCUGUCUAAGAUGUGAAGACGGUGGAAUCAGCCCCAGAAAAAUCUGGCUUGUCUGGAGGAACGGGGAGAGAGCAAACCGGCCAGGACCGUGAAAGAAACGUGGGCAGGACCCAGGGAGACGGGAAACCCCAGUGACCAGGAGUAGCUCAGUUCUCCUGUGCUGAACCUGGAGGACCAGCUAGCAGUGCUUCUCCAAAAUGCCUUUUUUUCCCCCCCUACCUAGAUUUCUCCCCCAUCCCUAGCAGCUGAGGAUGCUUGAUCCCCAGGGCAGCACCCUGCAGCCCUCCAUCAGGAGGAUGCAGACGUGCCAGGCUGGUGCCUUUAGCCUUUUUCCCCUCGAUAAAAUCCUGCCUUGCACACGCUGCUGACCCCAGCAACAUCUCUCCUUGAAGAUGAAACACUCCUGGGACCGGUUCCUAGUGCCGUGGCUGGCUGGUGUGGGACAACCUCAACACAAGGGCCAGAAAGACCUUCUCUCUGCCCAUUCCCAUCUAGCUGGGGGUGCAGCUCUUCCCAUAAAGGAUUUUAAAGUGCAUCUGGCUGAGAGCACCUACAGAGCAAGACUGAACUGUAAGACCUGGCCUUGUGAAUAAAUCCUUCAUGACACAUUUGGUUGCCCAUGCUCUGAGCUCACAUGAGGAUUGGACUGUACAGUCAACUUGAACUUUUAAAGUCAAUUUGGUUUUUUAGAUAAAGGAACAAAGUAAUAAAAGGAGAAAAAGAGGGAAGAAAAA
Long non-coding RNA from Tyto alba (common barn owl), 1788 nucleotides. RefSeq lists it as uncharacterized. Lineage: Eukaryota; Metazoa; Chordata; Aves; Strigiformes; Tytonidae. The record is from RefSeq and is a predicted model, not a curated record. The transcript is spliced from 2 exons.